Molecule: long non-coding RNA, 2770 nt
Organism: Rhea pennata
Lineage: Eukaryota; Metazoa; Chordata; Aves; Rheiformes; Rheidae
Exons: 3
Source: RefSeq, a predicted model, not a curated record
GAAGACUUGGGUAGUGUUGUCAUCAGAUGUCGUACUAGAAAAAGUUCAAAAAUGAAGUGGAAGCAGCUGUCUUAGGAGGAUUCAAGAAUGAUGCAGUAACAUGGUUGAGUGGUCCUGCAGUCCUUGUUCUGCAAAGAUGACUGGAGACUCAUCUUCAGGAGAAAAGUCCUCUUUGUGGUCUUGCAGUCCCCAAGCACUGGCUGAACUCUACAAGAAUGGUUCUGGAUGCAGCCUGCAACAGCAGGCUUUAAUAUAAAUAUAUAAAUAAUUCUUGCUGCACAGAAGAAGCCCCAAAUCUGGAUUUCUUAGAGGUGUAUAGACAGAGCUCAGAAAUAAUCUGGACCUGUGGAAGAUUCAGAAAGCUCUCCUGACACUGUAAGUGUGAAACAUGUAUUCAGCCCUAACAGCUAAUGAAUCUUACGGACACAAGCUGGCAAGCUCAUUGCCUGGUUACAGCGUAACAUCCACAUUAUCUUAGGACAGAGUCUGGAGGAGUGGAAUGAGUCAUAAAUAUGCAGUUUUCUCUGUCUCUUGAAGUAGAAUUAAUAGCAACCAGAAAAGCUGCCAUCAAGGACAAAAGUGAGCAAAACACAUUAGAAUCUCUAUCAUGGGGUUCAAAUCCCACCAGGAAUCUGUAUCUCAAACAUGGGCAUAUAUUCUGAUAAGGUCUCAAGGACUUUAUUAACCAUAGGGUAAACACAUACAGAAGCCUGACUGAUUAAACAGUGACUGACAGAAAACAUCGAGGGGAACUUGGACCUAAUUAAGAAAAAUUACUGACUCCUUCCUACAUAAUCAAGAUUAAACAAUGAAGGAGGAACUGAAAUAAAAAGAGCACUGCACAGAAAACCCAGGUCACAUAAUGGAAUAUGUAAGCCUAUGGGAUUCCUUCCUGUUGUCAACUGAAAGUCCUUAAAAAAAAUAAAGGAGCUCAUUAGACUUUGAACUAGAAAGGAAGAAACUCUUCAAAGAAAGAUAGACAGUAGAAUACUGUAUUUCUCUCAAAAGGCUGGUGCAGUUAGGUAGCUGAGGCAAUAGAGACUAUGCUGUAUCAAGAAAAUGGUGCAGGAAUUUGCAGGAGGCCAUAUACGGCUAUUCUGUUGGAGACAGCUGUCAGGUCUCUCUUGCUGUUAUCUGAGGACAAAUCUGAAAAAAAAUGAUUUGUAACUUGAACUUUUAACUGGAGAACAAAGUCUGGUAAUUCUCUAGGUGAAACUAAAGCAAGGCCAAAUAGUAAGGGCCUUGCUUUUACUUGUCCUCACUUUUUUCCAGUGGCCGUCAAUCCUGUGAUCCUUAUUCUAGGGGGAGGCAAUUAUAGAUUUCUCCAAUGUUAUGAUCACAGUAGGAGGAACCGGAUGGGUGUAAAAACAGAUCAGUUCUCUGGAUGCUGAAUACAACCCUGUACCUCUCCUUGCCACUGGAAUACAAGUUCCACAUUAUGAGCUGGACAUAUUAAAGCAGGCAUUCUGUCAUGCAUUACCAGAAAUCCUUAGCAUCCCUUGGUUGUCCAGGUACAUUCACCCCGACCUAUGUUCACUUCCAAUAGGAAGAGGAGGAAUUUUUGAGCUACAAGGUAGUCAAGCCAAAGAAUAAGGAGUUGAGCAUUACAGAAUCUUGGAAGCAUAAGUACACCUUUGACUCUUUAUGAAUUUUGUGAAGCUGCUGCCAUAGCAAGACAGUUCACGCUCAGGCAUCUCAACUCUUCCAAAGAGAGCAUCUAAUGGCAUUCAUUGAAUUUCUCUUCCUCUAUUGAGAAAGAGAAGAAUACAGAACUCAGAUCAGCUUGGAUAGUUUUUGCCAACUGUUGCAGACUGGACAGGUGCUUUUGGAAUCUGGAAAAAACAUUAUCUUCUAAAAACAAACAAAAAAUCAUAUCCCUGGAAAUUUAAUCAUACUCAGUGAUGGCAAGAAAGGCCUGUGCACAAAAGUUUCUGCAUUUAGGUUACAUGAUCCAACAUGUGCUCACAACCUAAGCUACAGGAUCAUGUUCUGUAGCAUCACAGGUGCAUUGCUCAAACCCUGAGACAGAAGUGUUGGCACUGGAGUUGCAAUGUAUGUGAGAGUUUCUGUGUGUUCUACUUCGGCUUGGUAACCCUUGCCAUCCUACCCUUGAAAGACUGCUGGAUUUGUUAUUAUGUCCAUUCAUUUACAAGAUACAAUUCAGCUUAUUUCAGUAAGAUUAGCCACAGUUUAAGGUGAUAAAAAUGAGAAACAGACUAUAUUAGGUCUGCAAGUCCUUGUAUUUUCACAACAAAGCUACUUGAACUGAAACACCGUUAAGUGCGACAAAUUAACUUUAUGCUCAUUUAUAUUACCAAAUUGAUGCUGUGGGGUCUAUAAAAUUAUCGUUAUUUUUAAGAAUUCUUACAGAAAUGUUUAUUAUUCUACAUAUUCAAUUCAUGAUUAAUACAGUAAAGUAAUACAAAUUACUAGAAAUAAAGUAAAUCUUACGUGGCAUGAUGCCCUGGUCCACCAGCUGUUCUCGUGUCCGCCUUUGCUGUAGCCUUAGCUGAAGUACUGAUAAAAGAAAAGUAUUUUGCAUGUAAGCAAACUAUCUCUACUGAACUGCAAAAAGAAAAACAUUCAAAAAAGAUACUAAAUAUCUUUAGAAAUAUUUCUGCUAUAUGCAUGCAGACCUGACACUAAAGUCCAAGACACCUAUCAUUAAGGUUAGUAAUUAAUGCUACAUUAAUGCUAGUAACGUAGUUAAGAGCAAUUGCUUCCAAUCCCUAUUUAUGUUGUACUUUGCUAAUUUUGUCAUACCUAAUAA